GGGGUGACUGCGUACCUUUUGUAUAAUGGGUCAGCGACUUAUAUUCUGUAGCAAGGUUAACCGCAUAGGGGAGCCGAAGGGAAACCGAGUCUUAACCGGGCGUUAAGUUGCAGGGUAUAGACCCGAAACCCGGUGAUCUAGCCAUGGGCAGGUUGAAGGUUGGGUAACACUAACUGGAGGACCGAACCGACUAAUGUUGAAAAAUUAGCGGAUGACCUGUGGCUGGGGGUGAAAGGCCAAUCAAACCGGGAGAUAGCUGGUUCUCCCCGAAAGCUAUUUAGGUAGCGCCUCGUGAACUCAUCUCCGGGGGUAGAGCACUGUUUCGGCUAGGGGGCCAUCCCGGCUUACCAACCCGAUGCAAACUGCGAAUACCGGAGAAUGUUAUCACGGGAGACACACGGCGGGUGCUAACGUCCGUCGUGAAGAGGGAAACAACCCAGACCGCCAGCUAAGGUCCCAAAGUCAUGGUUAAGUGGGAAACGAUGUGGGAAGGCCCAGACAGCCAGGAUGUUGGCUUAGAAGCAGCCAUCAUUUAAAGAAAGCGUAAUAGCUCACUGGUCGAGUCGGCCUGCGCGGAAGAUGUAACGGGGCUAAACCAUGCACCGAAGCUGCGGCAGCGACACUUUAGUGUUGUUGGGUAGGGGAGCGUUCUGUAAGCCGUUGAAGGUGUCCUGUGAGGGGUGCUGGAGGUAUCAGAAGUGCGAAUGCUGACAUAAGUAACGAUAAAGCGGGUGAAAAGCCCGCUCGCCGGAAGACCAAGGGUUCCUGUCCAACGUUAAUCGGGGCAGGGUGAGUCGACCCCUAAGGCGAGGCCGAAAGGCGUAGUCGAUGGGAAACGGGUUAAUAUUCCCGUACUUGGUGUUACUGCGAAGGGGGGACGGAGAAGGCUAUGUUGGCCGGGCGACGGUAGUCCCGGUUUAAGCGUGUAGGUGUGUGUUCCAGGCAAAUCCGGUUCACUUUAACACUGAGGCGUGAUGACGAGGCACCACGGUGCUGAAGCAACAAAUGCCCUGCUUCCAGGAAAAGCCUCUAAGCAUCAGGUAACAUCAAAUCGUACCCCAAACCGACACAGGUGGUCAGGUAGAGAAUACCAAGGCGCUUGAGAGAACUCGGGUGAAGGAACUAGGCAAAAUGGUGCCGUAACUUCGGGAGAAGGCACGCUGACACGUAGGUGAAGUGAUUUACUCACGGAGCUGAAGUCAGUCGAAGAUACCAGCUGGCUGCAACUGUUUAUUAAAAACACAGCACUGUGCAAACACGAAAGUGGACGUAUACGGUGUGACGCCUGCCCGGUGCCGGAAGGUUAAUUGAUGGGGUCAGCGCAAGCGAAGCUCCUGAUCGAAGCCCCGGUAAACGGCGGCCGUAACUAUAACGGUCCUAAGGUAGCGAAAUUCCUUGUCGGGUAAGUUCCGACCUGCACGAAUGGCGUAAUGAUGGCCAGGCUGUCUCCACCCGAGACUCAGUGAAAUUGAACUCGCUGUGAAGAUGCAGUGUACCCGCGGCAAGACGGAAAGACCCCGUGAACCUUUACUAUAGCUUGACACUGAACAUUGAGCCUUGAUGUGUAGGAUAGGUGGGAGGCUUUGAAGCGUGGACGCCAGUCUGCGUGGAGCCGACCUUGAAAUACCACCCUUUAAUGUUUGAUGUUCUAACGUGGACCCGUAAUCCGGGUUGCGGACAGUGUCUGGUGGGUAGUUUGACUGGGGCGGUCUCCUCCUAAAGAGUAACGGAGGAGCACGAAGGUUGGCUAAUCCUGGUCGGACAUCAGGAGGUUAGUGCAAUGGCAUAAGCCAGCUUGACUGCGAGCGUGACGGCGCGAGCAGGUGCGAAAGCAGGUCAUAGUGAUCCGGUGGUUCUGAAUGGAAGGGCCAUCGCUCAACGGAUAAAAGGUACUCCGGGGAUAACAGGCUGAUACCGCCCAAGAGUUCAUAUCGACGGCGGUGUUUGGCACCUCGAUGUCGGCUCAUCACAUCCUGGGGCUGAAGUAGGUCCCAAGGGUAUGGCUGUUCGCCAUUUAAAGUGGUACGCGAGCUGGGUUUAGAACGUCGUGAGACAGUUCGGUCCCUAUCUGCCGUGGGCGCUGGAGAAUUGAGGGGGGCUGCUCCUAGUACGAGAGGACCGGAGUGGACGCAUCACUGGUGUUCGGGUUGUCAUGCCAAUGGCACUGCCCGGUAGCUAAAUGCGGAAAAGAUAAGUGCUGAAAGCAUCUAAGCACGAAACUUGCCCCGAGAUGAGUUCUCCCUGAGACUUUGAGUCUCCUGAAGGAACGUUAAAGACGAUGACGUUGAUAGGCCGGGUGUGUAAGCGCAGCGAUGCGUUGAGCUAACCGGUACUAAUGAACCGUGAGGCUUAACCUUACAACGCCGAAGGUGUUU
This 2375-nucleotide ribosomal RNA is filed under the name Salmonella enterica subsp. enterica. Its description in RNAcentral is "bacterial LSU rRNA". It matches the Rfam family "Bacterial large subunit ribosomal RNA", at positions 590 to 2925 of the family's 2925-position model. The record is from RNAcentral. Lineage: Bacteria; Pseudomonadati; Pseudomonadota; Gammaproteobacteria; Enterobacterales; Enterobacteriaceae.